UACGAAGGGGACUAGCGUUGUUCGGAAUCACUGGGCGUAAAGCGCACGUAGGCGGCUUUGUAAGUUAGAGGUGAAAGCCUGGAGCUCAACUCCAGAACUGCCUUUAAGACUGCAUCGCUUGAAUCCAGGAGAGGUGAGUGGAAUUCCGAGUGUAGAGGUGAAAUUCGUAGAUAUUCGGAAGAACACCAGUGGCGAAGGCGGCUCACUGGACUGGUAUUGACGCUGAGGUGCGAAAGCGUGGGGAGCAAACAGG
Molecule: ribosomal RNA, 253 nt
Filed under: uncultured bacterium
Lineage: Bacteria
Description: partial 16S ribosomal RNA
Rfam family: Bacterial small subunit ribosomal RNA
Source: RNAcentral